This is a long non-coding RNA of Calliphora vicina (urban bluebottle blowfly), 787 nucleotides long. RefSeq lists it as uncharacterized. The transcript is spliced from 2 exons. Lineage: Eukaryota; Metazoa; Arthropoda; Insecta; Diptera; Calliphoridae. The record is from RefSeq and is a predicted model, not a curated record.
AGUAAUAAACCAUUAUUUGAUGUACGUGUUGAUCAGCUACCAGAAAUAAAAAAGAAACAGUGCCAACCGGACUCUGAACCUAUUGAUUGCAAAGCAGCUACCAAAUGUACCCAAAAGAGUGGUUAUUACAAAAUAUAUUUACCGGGAAAUAAAGAAAAACAAAUUAUGGUAUUUUGUGACAUGAAAAUUGCUGGUGGUAAUUGGAUGCACAUUUUUAGACGCAUUGAUGGUUCGGAAACGUUUAACCGUCCUUGGUCUGACUACGUACAUGGAUUUGGUAAUGUGGAGGGCGAGUAUUGGAUAGGAUUGAAGAAUUUAAAUGCACUCACUAACAACAAUGGUCGGCAGAAGUUAUAUGUUCAUUUAGAGAAUCCUACAAAUAAUCCUACUUAUGCUUCGUAUAAUAACUUUUUAGUAGGAAAUGCCACGGAAAUAUAUAAAUUAAAAUCUUUAGGCACAUAUGAAGGCCCAGCAGCAGAUGGUUUGUCGUAUUAUAUGGGUCAAAAAUUUUCCACCUACGAUUAUGAUAAUGACGGAUCGAGCUCUGCAAAUUGUGCCACGCAUAAUAUGGGCGGAUGGUGGUAUAAUAAUUGUGCAUAUGCACUUCCUACUGGUAAAUAUGGACCAUCCGGUAUAAGGUGGGAUAGUAGGGAUUCAAAUAUAUAUAAUUAUAAAAUCAUUAAUUUUAUGAUACGUAGUUUUAAAUAGUUUAUAUAUGUUUAAACAAAAUGUAUCGAUAUUAUUUAGACAAAAAAUAAAAAUUAUUUUAUUUCGAUUUUACAUUAAA